GGGCGGACGGGUGAGUAACACGUGGAUAACCUACCUAUAAGACUGGGAUAACUUCGGGAAACCGGAGCUAAUACCGGAUAAUAUUUUGAACCGCAUGGUUCAAAAGUGAAAGACGGUCUUGCUGUCACUUAUAGAUGGAUCCGCGCUGCAUUAGCUAGUUGGUAAGGUAACGGCUUACCAAGGCAACGAUGCAUAGCCGACCUGAGAGGGUGAUCGGCCACACUGGAACUGAGACACGGUCCAG
This 244-nucleotide ribosomal RNA is filed under the name uncultured Staphylococcus sp. RNAcentral describes it as "partial 16S ribosomal RNA". It matches the Rfam family "Bacterial small subunit ribosomal RNA", at positions 96 to 334 of the family's 1533-position model. The record is from RNAcentral. Lineage: Bacteria; Bacillati; Bacillota; Bacilli; Caryophanales; Staphylococcaceae.